Molecule: long non-coding RNA, 876 nt
Filed under: Salvia miltiorrhiza (redroot sage)
Lineage: Eukaryota; Viridiplantae; Streptophyta; Magnoliopsida; Lamiales; Lamiaceae
Description: long non-coding RNA (SMIL_LNC004544)
Source: RNAcentral
AAAAAUCACACAACAAAUGCCCUACAAGCUACACUACGAAUUGUAAACACUGCAAUUGAAAUUCAAAAAUCAGAUAACACAAACACAACCCUAGCCACCAGUCGCUACACCACCACCUCUUCUCCAUCGGCCCGUCGCGCCCAGCAGAACCCGCAGGCUGCAGCCGGCCGCGUGCCCAGCACCGCGACUCCAUGAGCGCGCAGCCACCCACGCACCGCACUGGAGGUCCGCAACAGCCCGCCGUGCCGCUGCUUCGCCGCCCCCUGCCUACUCGCACGCCCCCUGCCUAUUUGUCUUAGGCAAAUCGAAGUUCUUGACAUUCUUGCUACUGAUUAAUUCCAUAUGUAGUGUGAUUUCUUGGUUUCAUAUUUGAAUAAAUAUACUUUUGAUUCUUAUAAUUUUGGAGCUCACGCCACUGUGUGCAUUUCUCCUUUUAUUUUUUUGGAUUUAGGUUUAUGUGUUUUGCUUGGUUUGAAGCUUAUUAUUAUAUCCUUGUAUUCAUAUUUGUAAUUAUUACACCCUUGUAUUCAUUCUUUGUGAUUUACGUUUGUUUGAGCAGAAUGGACGCCUCAAACUUAAUAGAAAAUACACCUCAAGAAGAUGAGAUCAUGGAGGAAGAGAAUGAGGUGGAGAAAGAAGAACCAUUUUAUGUCAUGUUGAACACCACUUAAUUUGUAAGCUUGGUGGAAGAUUGAGUGCUUGAGAUUUGUUCUAGUGAAGUGUUAUUUUGAUGAAUUUGAAACUUUUCGUGAUGUAUGUACUAGAUGGAUAUUGUUUAUUUUACAAACUUUUGAAUUUCUGGUUUAUAUUGAGGAUUCUAACAGUGGAAUCAUCAUUUGAUAAUUUAUUAUUGUCCAUUUUGUGUUUUUAUUAGGU